GUACGGGAGGCAGCAGUAGGGAAUAUUGCUUAAUGGGCGCAAGCCUGAAGCAGCAACGCCGCGUGUGCGAUGAAGGCCUUCGGGUUGUAAAGCACUUUUUGCUGGGAAGAGGAAGGACGGUACCAGCAGAAUAAGCCUCGGCUAACUACGUGCCAGCAGCCGCGGUAAAACGUAGGAGGCGAGCGUUAUCCGGAUUUACUGGGUGUAAAGCGCGUGCAGGCGGUUUACUAAGUUGGAUGUGAAAGCUCCUGGCUCAACUGGGAGAGGUCGUUCAAAACUGGUAGACUCGAGAGCAGUAGGGGAAGGUGGAAUUCCGGGUGUAGUGGUGAAAUGCGUAGAUAUCCGGAGGAACACCAGUGGCGAAGGCGGCCUUCUGGACUGCAUCUGACGCUCAGACGCGAAAGCUAGGGUAGCAAACGGGAUUAGAUACCCGCGUAGUCCG
RNAcentral lists this ribosomal RNA (442 nucleotides) under uncultured bacterium. RNAcentral describes it as "bacterial SSU rRNA". It matches the Rfam family "Bacterial small subunit ribosomal RNA", at positions 339 to 797 of the family's 1533-position model. The record is from RNAcentral.